This 738-nucleotide ribosomal RNA is filed under the name Enterococcus mundtii. RNAcentral describes it as "bacterial SSU rRNA". It matches the Rfam family "Bacterial small subunit ribosomal RNA", at positions 51 to 760 of the family's 1533-position model. The record is from RNAcentral. Lineage: Bacteria; Bacillati; Bacillota; Bacilli; Lactobacillales; Enterococcaceae.
AUACAUGCAAGUCGAACGCUUCUUUUCCCACCGGAGCUUGCUCCACCGGGAAAAGAGGAGUGGCGAACGGGUGAGUAACACGUGGGUAACCUGCCCAUCAGAAGGGGAUAACACUUGGAAACAGGUGCUAAUACCGUAUAACAAUCGAAACCGCAUGGUUUCGUUUUGAAAGGCGCUUUACGGUGCCGCUGAUGGAUGGACCCGCGGUGCAUUAGCUAGUUGGUGAGGUAACGGCUCACCAAGGCCACGAUGCAUAGCCGACCUGAGAGGGUGAUCGGCCACAUUGGGACUGAGACACGGCCCAAACUCCUACGGGAGGCAGCAGUAGGGAAUCUUCGGCAAUGGACGAAAGUCUGACCGAGCAACGCCGCGUGAGUGAAGAAGGUUUUCGGAUCGUAAAACUCUGUUGUUAGAGAAGAACAAGGGUGAGAGUAACUGUUCACCCCUUGACGGUAUCUAACCAGAAAGCCACGGCUAACUACGUGCCAGCAGCCGCGGUAAUACGUAGGUGGCAAGCGUUGUCCGGAUUUAUUGGGCGUAAAGCGAGCGCAGGCGGUUUCUUAAGUCUGAUGUGAAAGCCCCCGGCUCAACCGGGGAGGGUCAUUGGAAACUGGGAGACUUGAGUGCAGAAGAGGAGAGUGGAAUUCCAUGUGUAGCGGUGAAAUGCGUAGAUAUAUGGAGGAACACCAGUGGCGAAGGCGGCUCUCUGGUCUGUAACUGACGCUGAGGCUCGAAAGC